CCACCAUAUACUGCUAGGUGUCACUGAUGGAUUUUGAAAGCAAUUAGAAUGAUUUUGAUGAUCGAUCAUUCUAAUUGUCUGAAUCAGAAGAGUUCUGAUCCAUCGAAAAGAGUUUUGAUGAUGUCGAUGAUGAGAUCACGACAUGUCUCAUUACCAUACAGAAUUAAACCUAAUUGGGUCACACAAAUAAGGGUUAGGGUCUGGAUGUCAUCAAUUGGGCUAGCCCAAUUGAUUUGGAUAAGAUCCAAUUAGGUUCAAAGAAAUCAUGCUAGC
This 273-nucleotide long non-coding RNA is filed under the name Elaeis guineensis (African oil palm). RNAcentral describes it as "long non-coding RNA (EGUI_LNC078713)". The record is from RNAcentral. Lineage: Eukaryota; Viridiplantae; Streptophyta; Magnoliopsida; Arecales; Arecaceae.